Molecule: ribosomal RNA, 492 nt
Filed under: uncultured bacterium
Lineage: Bacteria
Description: partial 16S ribosomal RNA
Rfam family: Bacterial small subunit ribosomal RNA
Source: RNAcentral
AGUGAACGCUGGCGGUAGGCCUAACACAUGCAAGUCGAACGGCAGCACAGUAAGAGCUUGCUCUUACGGGUGGCGAGUGGCGGACGGGUGAGGAAUACAUCGGAAUCUACUUUUUCGUGGGGGAUAACGUAGGGAAACUUACGCUAAUACCGCAUACGACCUACGGGUGAAAGCAGGGGAUCUUCGGACCUUGCGCGAUUGAAUGAGCCGAUGUCGGAUUAGCUAGUUGGCGGGGUAAAGGCCCACCAAGGCGACGAUCCGUAGCUGGUCUGAGAGGAUGGACAGGCCAAACGGGAACUGGGACCGGGUCCAGACCCCUAGGGGAGGCAGAGGUGGGAAAUAUUGACAAUGGGCGCAAGCCUGAUCCAGCCAUACCGCGUGGGUGAAGAAGGCCUUCGGGUUGUAAAGCCCUUUUGUUGGGAAAGAAAAGCAGCAGGUUAAUACCCCGCUGUUCUGACGGUACCCAAAGAAUAAGCACCGGCUAACUUCGUG